CCUACGGGGGGCACCAGUGGGGAAUAUUGGACAAUGGGGGGAACCCUGAUCCAGCCAUGCCGCGUGUGUGAAGAAGGCCUUUUGGUUGUAAAGCACUUUAAGCGAGGAGGAGGCUACCUAGAUUAAUACUUUAGGAUAGUGGACGUUACUCGCAGAAUAAGCACCGGCUAACUCUGUGCCAGCAGCCGCGGUAAUACAGAGGGUGCGAGCGUUAAUCGGAUUUGCUGGGCGUAAAGCGUGCGUUGGCGGCCAAUUAAGUCAAAUGUGAAAUCCCCGAGCUUAACUUGGGAAUUGCAUUCGAUACUGGUUGGCUAGAGUAUGGGAGAGGAUGGUAGAAUUCCAGGUGUAGCGGUGAAAUGCGUAGAGAUCUGGAGGAAUACCGAUGGCGAAGGCAGCCAUCUGGCCUAAUUCCGACGCUGAGGUACGAAAGCAUGGGGAGCAAACAGGAUUAGAUACCCUUGUAGUC
RNAcentral lists this ribosomal RNA (466 nucleotides) under uncultured bacterium. RNAcentral's name for it is "bacterial SSU rRNA". It matches the Rfam family "Bacterial small subunit ribosomal RNA", at positions 338 to 795 of the family's 1533-position model. The record is from RNAcentral.